UUAAGUUAUUAAGGGCGCACGGUGGAUGCCUUGGCACUAGAAGCCGAUGAAGGACGUUACUAACGACGAUAUGCUUUGGGGAGCUGUAAGUAAGCUUUGAUCCAGAGAUUUCCGAAUGGGGAAACCCAGCAUGAGUUAUGUCAUGUUAUCGAUAUGUGAAUACAUAGCAUAUCAGAAGGCACACCCGGAGAACUGAAACAUCUUAGUACCCGGAGGAAGAGAAAGAAAAUUCGAUUCCCUUAGUAGCGGCGAGCGAAACGGGAAGAGCCCAAACCAACAAGCUUGCUUGUUGGGGUUGUAGGACACUCUGUACGGAGUUACAAAGGACGACAUUAGACGAAUCAUCUGGAAAGAUGAAUCAAAGAAGGUAAUAAUCCUGUAGUCGAAAAUGUUGUCUCUCUUGAGUGGAUCCUGAGUACGACGGAGCACGUGAAAUUCCGUCGGAAUCUGGGAGGACCAUCUCCUAAGGCUAAAUACUCUCUAGUGACCGAUAGUGAACCAGUACCGUGAGGGAAAGGUGAAAAGCACCCCGGAAGGGGAGUGAAAUAGAACCUGAAACCGUGUGCUUACAAGUAGUCAGAGCCCGUUAAUGGGUGAUGGCGUGCCUUUUGUAGAAUGAACCGGCGAGUUACGAUUUGAUGCAAGGUUAAGCAGUAAAUGUGGAGCCGUAGCGAAAGCGAGUCUGAAUAGGGCGUUUAGUAUUUGGUCGUAGACCCGAAACCAGGUGAUCUACCCUUGGUCAGGUUGAAGUUCAGGUAACACUGAAUGGAGGACCGAACCGACUUACGUUGAAAAGUGAGCGGAUGAACUGAGGGUAGCGGAGAAAUUCCAAUCGAACCUGGAGAUAGCUGGUUCUCUCCGAAAUAGCUUUAGGGCUAGCCUCAAGUGAUGAUUAUUGGAGGUAGAGCACUGUUUGGACGAGGGGCCCCUCUCGGGUUACCGAAUUCAGACAAACUCCGAAUGCCAAUUAAUUUAACUUGGGAGUCAGAACAUGGGUGAUAAGGUCCGUGUUCGAAAGGGAAACAGCCCAGACCACCAGCUAAGGUCCCAAAAUAUAUGUUAAGUGGAAAAGGAUGUGGCGUUGCCCAGACAACUAGGAUGUUGGCUUAGAAGCAGCCAUCAUUUAAAGAGUGCGUAAUAGCUCACUAGUCGAGUGACACUGCGCCGAAAAUGUACCGGGGCUAAACAUAUUACCGAAGCUGUGGAUUGUCCUUUGGACAAUGGUAGGAGAGCGUUCUAAGGGCGUUGAAGCAUGAUCGUAAGGACAUGUGGAGCGCUUAGAAGUGAGAAUGCCGGUGUGAGUAGCGAAAGACGGGUGAGAAUCCCGUCCACCGAUUGACUAAGGUUUCCAGAGGAAGGCUCGUCCGCUCUGGGUUAGUCGGGUCCUAAGCUGAGGCCGACAGGCGUAGGCGAUGGAUAACAGGUUGAUAUUCCUGUACCACCUAUAAUCGUUUUAAUCGAUGGGGGGACGCAGUAGGAUAGGCGAAGCGUGCGAUUGGAUUGCACGUCUAAGCAGUAAGGCUGAGUAUUAGGCAAAUCCGGUACUCGUUAAGGCUGAGCUGUGAUGGGGAGAAGACAUUGNGUCUUCGAGUCGUUGAUUUCACACUGCCGAGAAAAGCCUCUAGAUAGAAAAUAGGUGCCCGUACCGCAAACCGACACAGGUAGUCAAGAUGAGAAUUCUAAGGUGAGCGAGCGAACUCUCGUUAAGGAACUCGGCAAAAUGACCCCGUAACUUCGGGAGAAGGGGUGCUCUUUAGGGUUAACGCCCAGAAGAGCCGCAGUGAAUAGGCCCAAGCGACUGUUUAUCAAAAACACAGGUCUCUGCUAAACCGUAAGGUGAUGUAUAGGGGCUGACGCCUGCCCGGUGCUGGAAGGUUAAGAGGAGUGGUUAGCUUCUGCGAAGCUACGAAUCGAAGCCCCAGUAAACGGCGGCCGUAACUAUAACGGUCCUAAGGUAGCGAAAUUCCUUGUCGGGUAAGUUCCGACCCGCACGAAAGGCGUAACGAUUUGGGCACUGUCUCAACGAGAGACUCGGUGAAAUCAUAGUACCUGUGAAGAUGCAGGUUACCCGCGACAGGACGGAAAGACCCCGUGGAGCUUUACUGUAGCCUGAUAUUGAAAUUCGGCACAGCUUGUACAGGAUAGGUAGGAGCCUUUGAAACGUGAGCGCUAGCUUACGUGGAGGCGCUGGUGGGAUACUACCCUAGCUGUGUUGGCUUUCUAACCCGCACCACUUAUCGUGGUGGGAGACAGUGUCAGGCGGGCAGUUUGACUGGGGCGGUCGCCUCCUAAAAGGUAACGGAGGCGCUCAAAGGUUCCCUCAGAAUGGUUGGAAAUCAUUCAUAGAGUGUAAAGGCAUAAGGGAGCUUGACUGCGAGACCUACAAGUCGAGCAGGGUCGAAAGACGGACUUAGUGAUCCGGUGGUUCCGCAUGGAAGGGCCAUCGCUCAACGGAUAAAAGCUACCCCGGGGAUAACAGGCUUAUCUCCCCCAAGAGUUCACAUCGACGGGGAGGUUUGGCACCUCGAUGUCGGCUCAUCGCAUCCUGGGGCUGUAGUCGGUCCCAAGGGUUGGGCUGUUCGCCCAUUAAAGCGGUACGCGAGCUGGGUUCAGAACGUCGUGAGACAGUUCGGUCCCUAUCCGUCGUGGGCGUAGGAAAUUUGAGAGGAGCUGUCCUUAGUACGAGAGGACCGGGAUGGACAUACCUCUGGUGUACCAGUUGUCGUGCCAACGGCAUAGCUGGGUAGCUAUGUGUGGACGGGAUAAGUGCUGAAAGCAUCUAAGCAUGAAGCCCCCCUCAAGAUGAGAUUUCCCAACUUCGGUUAUAAGAUC
RNAcentral lists this ribosomal RNA (2832 nucleotides) under Staphylococcus aureus. RNAcentral describes it as "23S ribosomal RNA". It matches the Rfam family "Bacterial large subunit ribosomal RNA". Lineage: Bacteria; Bacillati; Bacillota; Bacilli; Caryophanales; Staphylococcaceae. The record is from RNAcentral.